RNA transcript from Phragmites australis (common reed), 1543 nucleotides. It is a transcript of the gene named E3 ubiquitin-protein ligase MIEL1-like, with no coding region annotated. The transcript has 13 exons. Lineage: Eukaryota; Viridiplantae; Streptophyta; Magnoliopsida; Poales; Poaceae. The record is from RefSeq and is a predicted model, not a curated record.
CAUCGAAGGCUUGGCCGCCGGAGCCUUGGCCGCCUCGCCUUCUACCCGUAUCGUACCAUUUUACCCUCUGCACCCUCCUUAUUUACGUUCCUGCCACCCACCCCACCGCCGCCGGGGAUGGGAGGAGCGCACUUACCCGGCGGCGAGGACGUCUCCCACGACGUGGUCGGCGACGGGGACGUCGACCGCCGCGACGUGGGCAAGAUGGAGCACCGGUGCGAACAUUACCGGCGGAGGUGCAAGAUCGUGGCGCCGUGCUGCAGCCAGGUGUUUCCCUGCCGCCAUUGCCACAACGAGACCACGGCUUCAGGAGAUCGGCAUACAAUAUGUCGCCAGAAUGUUGAAAAAGUAGUAUGUCUACUCUGUGAUACUGAACAACUGGUAUCACAAGUGUGUGUAAGCUGUGGAGUCAAUAUGGGCGAGUACUUCUGUGAUAUAUGCAAGUUUUAUGAUGAUGAUACAGAGAAAGGGCAGUACCAUUGCUAUGACUGUGGCAUAUGCAGGGUUGGUGGCAAGGAAAACUUCUUCCACUGCGUAAAGUGUGGGUCUUGCUAUUCUGUUAUACUGCGCGAUAACCAUCAGUGUGUAGAGAACUCAAUGAGACAGAAUUGCCCAAUCUGUUAUGAGUAUCUAUUUGAUUCGUUACAAGGAACAAGAGUUCUUAACUGUGGACACACGAUGCACAUGGAAUGUUUUUCUGAUAUGGUGGGGCAUAACAAGUACACUUGUCCAAUAUGCUCUAAGACAGCUCUUGAUAUGACCCAUCACUGGGAAGCGUUGGAUCAAGAGAUCGAAGCAACAAUCAUGCCUCCUGUAUAUCGUUACAAGAUAGAGUAUAGGCAUGGGAUCAUUCACACAAGAGGUUGGUCAGUGACUCAAACAUGAGAAGAAUUUACUAAACCCAUGCCAUAAACCGAAAUAGCCAUACACCAAUUGUGAUUUGCCGAUUGUUUCGCUCGGACUUGAGAUAAGUUUACUAAAUCCAUGACAUAAACCAAAAUUUAGAUAAGUUUACUAAAUCCAUGACAUAAACCGUACCUCUCACUGUGUUGCUUAUCUUUCUGUGCUUUUUGAAAGAGUGGUAUAUGGAUGAAGUUAAGAAAGACGCACCAGUGGCCACAUCGAUGACUGUGGCGCCACGCCGAACGUUGAUGCUAGAGGAUCCUUAGACAGGAUGAUGUAUCGCUACUUCGACGUACAUGCAGCAACAUGCUCGAUGCUGAGGGAACUAUCAUCCUGCCGAGGCAUCGCUUUAUACAAUUCGUCACGGAAUCAAUCCAUCAAAGUCACAUGGAGCCAACAAAUGCUAUUGUCCUUCUUGCAGAAGCCACGAGUGCCCCUUGAGAAGUUGAAGAGUCAAGAACUAAGCAAAAACUGAACAGAAUCAAAGGGUUCUGGAGCAAUGGUGAUUGCUCUACAGAACACUAGCCUUUUCUCUCUCCUUCCUUUCUUUUCCAGGUGAGAACUAUCAAGGCAGAUAUAGGGGAUAAGGAUAUCUCUAUCCAAAUAUCCAUUCUUCCGUGCUUGUGUUGGAUGUUUGCGU